CAAGUUAUAGCAUAUAAUAUAAUGUUUCUAAUUUACACUUAGAAGAAAAUUUUUAUUUAACUUGA
This 65-nucleotide transfer RNA is filed under the name Haementeria acuecueyetzin. RNAcentral's name for it is "tRNA-Val". Lineage: Eukaryota; Metazoa; Annelida; Clitellata; Rhynchobdellida; Glossiphoniidae. The record is from RNAcentral.